This 1459-nucleotide ribosomal RNA is filed under the name Cyanobium sp. JJ21RS8. RNAcentral's name for it is "bacterial SSU rRNA". It matches the Rfam family "Bacterial small subunit ribosomal RNA". Lineage: Bacteria; Bacillati; Cyanobacteriota; Cyanophyceae; Synechococcales; Prochlorococcaceae. RNAcentral also lists the same sequence under 4 other names. The record is from RNAcentral.
GAUGAACGCUGGCGGCGUGCUUAACACAUGCAAGUCGAACGAGCCUUCGGGCUAGUGGCGGACGGGUGAGUAACGCGUGGGAAUCUGCCCUCAGGAGGGGGAUAACGGCCGGAAACGGCCGCUAAUACCCCAUAUGCCGAGAGGUGAAACGAAUUUCGCCUGGGGAUGAGCCCGCGUCUGAUUAGCUAGUUGGUGAGGUAAUGGCUCACCAAGGCUUCGAUCAGUAGCUGGUCUGAGAGGAUGAUCAGCCACACUGGGACUGAGACACGGCCCAGACUCCUACGGGAGGCAGCAGUGGGGAAUUUUCCGCAAUGGGCGCAAGCCUGACGGAGCAACGCCGCGUGAGGGACGAAGGCCUCUGGGCUGUAAACCUCUUUUCUCAAGGAAGAAGACAUGACGGUACUUGAGGAAUAAGCCACGGCUAAUUCCGUGCCAGCAGCCGCGGUAAUACGGGAGUGGCAAGCGUUAUCCGGAAUUAUUGGGCGUAAAGCGUCCGCAGGCGGCCUUGAAAGUCUGUUGUUAAAGCGUGGAGCUCAACUCCAUUUAAGCAAUGGAAACUACAAGGCUAGAGUGUGGUAGGGGCAGAGGGAAUUCCCGGUGUAGCGGUGAAAUGCGUAGAUAUCGGGAAGAACACCAGUGGCGAAGGCGCUCUGCUGGGCCAUAACUGACGCUCAUGGACGAAAGCCAGGGGAGCGAAAGGGAUUAGAUACCCCUGUAGUCCUGGCCGUAAACGAUGAACACUAGGUGUCGGGAGAAUUAACCCUUCCGGUGUCGUAGCCAACGCGUUAAGUGUUCCGCCUGGGGAGUACGCACGCAAGUGUGAAACUCAAAGGAAUUGACGGGGGCCCGCACAAGCGGUGGAGUAUGUGGUUUAAUUCGAUGCAACGCGAAGAACCUUACCAGGGUUUGACAUCCUGCGAAUCCCUUGGAAACGAGGGAGUGCCUUCGGGAACGCAGUGACAGGUGGUGCAUGGCUGUCGUCAGCUCGUGUCGUGAGAUGUUGGGUUAAGUCCCGCAACGAGCGCAACCCACGUCUUUAGUUGCCAGCAUUCAGUUGGGCACUCUAGAGAGACCGCCGGUGAUAAACCGGAGGAAGGUGUGGAUGACGUCAAGUCAUCAUGCCCCUUACAUCCUGGGCUACACACGUACUACAAUGCUACGGACAAAGGGCAGCAAACUCGCGAGAGCUAGCAAAUCCCAUAAACCGUGGCUCAGUUCAGAUCGUAGGCUGCAACUCGCCUACGUGAAGGAGGAAUCGCUAGUAAUCGCAGGUCAGCAUACUGCGGUGAAUACGUUCCCGGGCCUUGUACACACCGCCCGUCACACCAUGGAAGUUGGCCAUGCCCGAAGUCGUUACUCCAACCCGCAAGGGAGGAGGACGCCGAAGGUGGGGCUGAUGACUGGGGUGAAGUCGUAACAAGGUAGCCGUACCGGAAGGUGCGGCUGGAUCACCUCCUAA